GACGAACGCUGGCGGCGUGCUUAACACAUGCAAGUCGAACGGUGAAGCGCCUUCCUUUUUGGUGGGUGUGGAUGAGUGGCGAACGGGUGAGUAACACGUGAGUAACCUGCCCCCUUCUUCUGGAUAACCGCAUGAAAGUGUGGCUAAUACGGGAUAUUCUGGGUCUGUCGCAUGAUGGGUCUGGGAAAGAUAUUGUUUCGGUGGGGGAUGGGCUCGCGGCCUAUCAGCUUGUUGGUGGGGUGAUGGCCUACCAAGGCGGUGACGGGUAGCCGGCCUGAGAGGGUGGACGGUCACACUGGGGAUGAGACACGGCCCAGACUCCUACGGGAGGCAGCAGUGGGGAAUAUUGCACAAUGGGCGCAAGCCUGAUGCAGCGACGCCGCGGGAGGGAUGGAGGCCUGCGGGUUGUGAACCUCUUUCGCCAGUGAAGCAGGCCUGCCUCGUUUGUGGGUGGGUUGACGGUAGCUGGAUAAGAAGCGCCGGCUAACUACGUG
RNAcentral lists this ribosomal RNA (494 nucleotides) under uncultured bacterium. RNAcentral describes it as "partial 16S ribosomal RNA". It matches the Rfam family "Bacterial small subunit ribosomal RNA", at positions 28 to 507 of the family's 1533-position model. The record is from RNAcentral.